GGACCUGUGGCGCAGCGGUAGCGCGUGUGAUUCCAGUCUUUUCGGGACAUCCACAAGGUCGUCCGUUCAAAUCGGGCCAGGUUCA
RNAcentral lists this transfer RNA (85 nucleotides) under Aureobasidium namibiae CBS 147.97. It matches the Rfam family "tRNA". From Rfam's summary of the family: Transfer RNA (tRNA) molecules are approximately 80 nucleotides in length. Their secondary structure includes four short double-helical elements and three loops (D, anti-codon, and T loops). Further hydrogen bonds mediate the characteristic L-shaped molecular structure. tRNAs have two regions of fundamental functional importance: the anti-codon, which is responsible for specific mRNA codon recognition, and the 3' end, to which the tRNAs corresponding amino acid is attached (by aminoacyl-tRNA synthetases). tRNAs cope with the degeneracy of the genetic code in two manners: having more than one tRNA (with a specific anti-codon) for a particular amino acid; and 'wobble' base-pairing, i.e. permitting non-standard base-pairing at the 3rd anti-codon position. Lineage: Eukaryota; Fungi; Ascomycota; Dothideomycetes; Dothideales; Saccotheciaceae. The record is from Rfam by way of RNAcentral.